This is a long non-coding RNA of Astyanax mexicanus (Mexican tetra), 418 nucleotides long. RefSeq lists it as uncharacterized. The transcript is spliced from 3 exons. The record is from RefSeq and is a predicted model, not a curated record. NCBI's taxonomy places the organism in Eukaryota, Metazoa, Chordata, Actinopteri, Characiformes, Acestrorhamphidae.
UACCAGAUAUAUAUAAAUCAGAUUAAACUGCACUGACAUGAAAUACCCGCCAGACCAACCAGGUAUUUGGAUACCAGAUAUAUAUAAAUCAGAUUAAACUGCACUGACAUGAAAUACCCGCCAGACCAUCCAGGUAUUUGGAUACCAGAUAUAUAUAAAUCAGAUUAAACUGCACUGACAUGAAAUACCCGCCACAACAUCCAGGUAUUUGGAUACCAGAUAUAUAUAAAUCAGAUUAAACUGCACUGACAUGAAAUACCCGCCACAACAUCCAGGUAUUUGGAUACCAGAUAUAUAUAAAUCAGAUUAAACUAAACUAACAUGAAAUACCUGCCAGACCAUCCAGGUAUUUGGAUACCAGAUAUAUAUAAAUCAGAUUAAACUAUACUAACAUGAAAUACCCGCCAGACCAUCCAGG